RNAcentral lists this unclassified non-coding RNA (432 nucleotides) under uncultured Agaricomycetes. RNAcentral's name for it is "sequence contains ITS2". The stretch from base 1 to 154 matches the Rfam family "5.8S ribosomal RNA". The record is from RNAcentral. Lineage: Eukaryota; Fungi; Basidiomycota; Agaricomycetes.
AACUUUCAGCAACGUAUCUCUUGGUUCUCGCAUCGAUUAAGAACGCAGCGAAUUGCGAUAUGUAAUGUGAAUUGCAGAAUUCAGUGAAUCAUCGAAUCUUUGAACGCACCUUGCGCCCUUUGGUAUUCCGAAGGGCAUGCCUGUUUGAGUGUCAUUAAAUUCUCAACUUCAAAGAGUUUAUCUCUCUUCUGAAGCUUGGACUAUGGAGGCUUGCUGGAACAAUAUAGUCAGCUCCUCUUAAAUGUAUUAGCAGAACCUUUAUAAAGGACUAGCUCCAGUUUGAUAAUUCUAUCUAUGCUGUUGCUUGUUAACCUUUCUGUGUUCAGCUUCUAAUGGUCUUUUAGACUGUCUCUAUGAGGCAUACACUUUCAAGCUUGACCUCAAAUCAGGUAGGACUACCCGCUGACCUUAAGCAUAUCAAUAAGCGGAGGC